Non-coding RNA from Prunus avium (sweet cherry), 616 nucleotides. The record is from RefSeq and is a predicted model, not a curated record. Lineage: Eukaryota; Viridiplantae; Streptophyta; Magnoliopsida; Rosales; Rosaceae.
UAGAGCACGACAAAACGAGUCUGUAGACACGUAGUGGACUCAAAUUGGACUUGUAACGAAGAAAUUACAAGCAAAAUACAUAAAAAGGGCAUAAUUGAAAUUUUGGAAAAAGUCAGAUUUUUUAAAAAAACCAGAUUUCUUCUCUCCUCACUCUCUCUCUCCCCGCAUCUCUUCCCUCUCCCCCCCUUUGGUUUUCCAGCCGACACCACCCCUCCUCCCAGCCACCACCAUCGACGCCGGCCAGCCCAGAUCGGACCGGCGACUCCCCAGCCUCCCAGCCCGACGUCCUCCCCCGCCGCCUGCCGCCAUGAAUCGCUGGAGAGAACCAGAAAAUCGCGUCAUUUUUGGCAGAAUUUUGUCUGCUCCGUUCGUCGUCAUCCGGCCACCAAAUCGGAUGAAUUAGGCACCCGGGCACCAGGUGACCCGCAGGAGGGACCUUCAAAGGGUCCAGCUAGCUCAGAGUAUCUGUAGUAGUCGUGCAUCAGUGCGCCACCACCGGGCCGAGUCCAUCUUCCGCUACAUCCCUUGGUUUUGAUUAGUUGUGUUUUAUUUGUAACCUACGCUGUAUAGAUGCUCUGAUAUUGCCCUAGAAUACAUGUCUAACUGUUAGUAUGUA